AGGGGCUUUCCAACGAGGCUCGAGAAGCAGGGUGCUGGGGGACAGGAAAAGACCACCCUGCAGGCAUGCAGUAAAUUUCCAGCAACAGAGGAAGAUCAGGAUACAACAGCAAAAAUACUUUUGUAGGAAACAAAAUUGCUUCAGAGAUAACACAACUGUCCCUGAAGCCAGAAAAAUGAGGAGAGCUGUGGAUACACAUGGGUAACUGACUGUGAGGAAAAUUGGAAUUGUUCAAAUCCUGAUGUGGCUACCAGCAUCACCAUACAACUUGAGAGCAUCAGAAAGAAAGGAAUGCUAACAGACUUUGAGACACUUCAGAGCUAGUGUUAGAGUCCUGUAGAGAAUACUGUAAAUAAUGCAGAAGGCCAUUAUGAUAUUCUUUGUGUGCAAUUACUUUGUUUUGAAAUAAAGAGUAAUGUAAAUUUCAGUCUGUACUUAAGAUAGCAACAAAAAGAGCAGUAUACUAUUCCUGUGUAAAAACUAACUGUAAAGGAAGCAGUAGGGUUUCACUAAGGCAACAAGAAAAUUUCAGGAGUAGGAUGCAUAUAAAGCUGCUCAGAAUUGCAGGAAGACUAAGCUGUGUUUCAGCUUAGAAAUCUUUCCCUACUAGCUGAGAUACUUAGAAUGUUAUACUCCUUUGUGUACCUCUUUGAACGUUGCUCUCUUUUUAAGCAGUAAGGUUCUUAAACCCUGUUAAGGCUCCCUUAAGUUCUGACAUCAAUGAGAAUUAGGUACCUUCAACUAAAGAAGUGCUAGACAACGCAAGAAUUGAUGUGCUGGGAAAAUAAGGCCAUGAGCCAUGGUAAUGAAAGGAUCUCUAGGAGUCCCCAGCUAACAAUAUUAUAGCAGGUUUAUGAAAGGAAACAUCUAGUGACUUAAUGGGUAACAUUGAUAGGAUUAAAAGGGUGCAGUUGAUUAGCAUUAUCUGCUUAAGAACAAAAUCACAUUAAAAGUAGGAGGUCAUAGGAUUUAAGGAUUAAGAAUAU
Meleagris gallopavo (turkey) is the source of this 986-nucleotide non-coding RNA. The record is from RefSeq and is a predicted model, not a curated record. NCBI's taxonomy places the organism in Eukaryota, Metazoa, Chordata, Aves, Galliformes, Phasianidae.